GCAGUCGUGGCCGAGUAAUUAAGGCGAUGGACUAGAAAUACAUUGGGGUCUCCCCGCAGAGGUUCAAAUCCUGUCGACUGCG
Molecule: non-coding RNA, 82 nt
Organism: Ixodes scapularis (black-legged tick)
Lineage: Eukaryota; Metazoa; Arthropoda; Arachnida; Ixodida; Ixodidae
Source: Rfam